ACUGUCAUCGCGACGUGAGCGGGAGCGAAGUCCGGUGAGAAUCCGGCGCUGUGCCGCAACUGUGAUGGACCCGUCAGACUGCUCGUCGACAGCCGAGCCGAAUUACGGGUCCUAGCCAGGUCGCCUCCCGUUUCACGUGACGCCAUUGUCACCUCCGGCGCAGAGGUACGGCGUCC
RNAcentral lists this small RNA (176 nucleotides) under Saccharomonospora viridis. The record is from RNAcentral. RNAcentral also lists the same sequence under 1 other name. Lineage: Bacteria; Bacillati; Actinomycetota; Actinomycetes; Pseudonocardiales; Pseudonocardiaceae.